UUCAUCGUCCGAGUGCCCUCAGCCUACAACGCAAUCCUUAGAUGACUAGAACUUAAUGCCCUUCAUGCAAUCAUCUUAACCUACCAUUUGUUGGUGUAGUUCUCAACUCAGAAUGGAGUCGACGAGAUCUAAGGGGAUCAGAUGUUAGCCCGAUAAUGUUUCUUUGCAACCAUCAAAAAGAAGAGGCCGAUAGAAGCCUUGUCAAUUGAAGAUCAUAGGGACAACUUAAAGGAGUCUCAGGGAGAA
RNAcentral lists this long non-coding RNA (246 nucleotides) under Elaeis guineensis (African oil palm). RNAcentral's name for it is "long non-coding RNA (EGUI_LNC004652)". The record is from RNAcentral. Lineage: Eukaryota; Viridiplantae; Streptophyta; Magnoliopsida; Arecales; Arecaceae.